This 826-nucleotide ribosomal RNA is filed under the name Arxotrichum piluliferoides. Its description in RNAcentral is "LSU rRNA". It matches the Rfam family "Eukaryotic large subunit ribosomal RNA", at positions 78 to 938 of the family's 3401-position model. Lineage: Eukaryota; Fungi; Ascomycota; Sordariomycetes; Sordariales; Chaetomiaceae. The record is from RNAcentral.
CCCUAGUAACGGCGAGUGAAGCGGCAACAGCUCAAAUUUGAAAUCUGGCUUCGGCCCGAGUUGUAAUUUGCAGAGGAAGCUUUAGGCGCGGCACCAUCUGAGUCCCCUGGAACGGGGCGCCAUAGAGGGUGAGAGCCCCGUAUAGUUGGACGCCUAGCCUGUGUAAAGCUCCUUCGACGAGUCGAGUAGUUUGGGAAUGCUGCUCAAAAUGGGAGGUAAAUUUCUUCUAAAGCUAAAUACCGGCCAGAGACCGAUAGCGCACAAGUAGAGUGAUCGAAAGAUGAAAAGCACUUUGAAAAGAGGGUUAAAUAGCACGUGAAAUUGUUGAAAGGGAAGCGCUUGUGACCAGACUUGCGCCGGGCGGAUCAUCCGGUGUUCUCACCGGUGCACUCCGCCCGGCUCAGGCCAGCAUCGGUUCUCGCGGGGGGAUAAAGGCCCUGGGAACGUAGCUCCUCCGGGAGUGUUAUAGCCCAGGGUGUAAUGCCCUCGCGGGGACCGAGGACCGCGCAUCUGCAAGGAUGCUGGCGUAAUGGUCAUCAGCGACCCGUCUUGAAACACGGACCAAGGAGUCAAGGUUUUGCGCGAGUGUUUGGGUGUAAAACCCGCACGCGUAAUGAAAGUGAACGUAGGUGAGAGCUUCGGCGCAUCAUCGACCGAUCCUGAUGUUUUCGGAUGGAUUUGAGUAGGAGCGUUAAGCCUUGGACCCGAAAGAUGGUGAACUAUGCUUGGAUAGGGUGAAGCCAGAGGAAACUCUGGUGGAGGCUCGCAGCGGUUCUGACGUGCAAAUCGAUCGUCAAAUCUGAGCAUGGGGCGAAAGACUAAUCGA